GCAGAUUUCUCUUGAGCCCAAAUUCUUAAAAUUAUACCUGCCGACGUGGGCCAUUUAACAUUAUUGACAAAUGAUGCCUAAAAUCAUUUUACAAACAAAUCAUACGGCCCAAGUAGCAUUUAAUUAUGAACUAACCAACCCAAACUAAGAUAGAAUAAUACUUACUUGAUUAACGUUACUUAAAUCUCAGACAACUAACCAAAAAUUAUUAUACAAAUAAUUGAACAUAUGAACAUUUCUAUCAAUGUAAACUAGCAGUGAAUAAGCAGACUUUGUUCUAACAAAUAACACCCAAAUAAUGAAUUGAAAGUGGAGUUAAAGAAAGGGUGGACCUUUAUUGCUAAAUUUCCAGCCAGUACAGUGAAUAGAAGCUCCAAAACAUUAAUCCUCAAGUGAGCUACAGACUAGAAACUUGAACCGGAAUCGGCGAUCCCAAGCUGACUGAGCUUGAGACGGUGGUUUCGGGCUGAUUUUCACACUGGUUUUGGGUUUUUUUCAUCUGUAUUUUUGAUGAUUUUCGUGACUUAUUGGGGUUGUUUUGCUGGUUUUUGGUGCUAUUUUGCGAUAUUUUGGGGCUGAUUUUAUAGCAGGUUUUCAAGCUGAGUUUUCAUAUGGUUUUGAGGAGUUUUUCAGCUCACUUCCAUGGCUGGCAAUGGAGUUUUUUCGGGCAGUUUUGGGCAGAGGUUGGAGGUGCUUUUGGGGGCCGAUUUUGGAGGUUUUAUUAGGUGACGAAAAUGGUGUUUGAUGGAAGUGAUAUUAGCUGGUUUCAAUGGUGGAACUAUGGCUAUUUUUCUCCAGGAAGAGGAAGACGUUGCCCUUUUUUUAGCUCACUCGGUUUCUUUCCCUUUUUGUGCUCCUUAUUUUUAAAAAAACAUUUCCCCUUUUCUUCCUCAUGUGUGUGUACAUAUAAUAAGAAAAGAUGAGAGGAAGUGUGUUGAGAAUGAAUGAUGGAACAAUGAAAUAAUGUAAGGAGUGGGGUGAUGAGACAAAAAAAUAGUAUAAGGAGUGAGUAUGGGACAAGGAAAUAGUGUAGGGAAGGUGGAAGGCAAUUUAAUUAGAUUUGGUCCGUAUUUAAAAUUAAUUUUUGCGAUCACUAUGUAGUAGACUGCGUACAAUAAUAUUACGUAUUCUCUAGUAAUGCCUAGUAAAAAGAUGUAAGAGGUAAACUAUCAAUAUCAAGCCUAGAAAAUAUUAAACAAUAAAAAAACAAAUUAUAGAAAACUCAAGUGUGGUAAGAAAUUAGGUGCUCACAGCAUGCCCCUCUUUGCUUGGUAACAAGAAGAGUUUUCAAGCAAAGAAAAGGUGAGCAUUGUGACUAAUUAUUUUGCCAACCCAUUAUUCAAAAAAUGAAGAAAUGAAGAAAAGAUAAAAGAGUGCAAACGAGUCGUGAUUUUGGACAACCUACAUAUCCCGGGUUAUAAGGGAAUCAGGCCGUGUGUAGUUCAAGGAGAACGAUGGAAUGAUGAGUUUGAGAGUCGAGUGAGAUUCCGUCGAGGUUACGGUCUGCAGUCCUAUUUAUUGCUUCAAAAUGAAAAAGGAAAUUACACUAAAUAAAAUAAAAAAUACAAGGUCCUAUGUACUCUUCUUGUCUCGAGUCUUGUAUCUUCACUUGAGAUCUCGUAAACCCGCAUUGGAAGGUGGGUGCCUUAAAUUUGAAGCUUGAUGACUCGCAUUUGGAGGUGGGUGCUUUGAAUUUGAGGAUUGUUGACCUGCAUUGGACGGUGGGUGCCUUCAGAUUGAAGAUUGAUUCUUGAAGCUUGGGCGUGAACUCAAACUUGGAUUGAAUCUUGAAUGCUCGCUUUUUAAGUAGAAGCCGAGAAGAUGAAUUUUGAGAUGCUGGUUGAUGUAUGCAUUACGUCAAAGCUCGACCCCAACUGUCUUUAUGCUUGAACAACCUUAUUUUUUUAAAAAAUUGGAACCUCAUUCUUGGACAUCAAACUUGUGUUCUCCGGGAACCUGCAAGACAUCACAAGACAAAUAAAACAAACAAAUUUUUUCUGCCCAGUUUAUACUAGGAAACUUUUGUGAGUUAUUAGCAAAAACUGUAAACUAAUUUUUGUUUUUUUAAUUAAGAGCGAAGAAAGCAUCAGGUAAUGGUGUACCCUUUAAAAUACGACUAGGGAAUGGUGUACCCUAUGUCAAAAGAAAAACAACUAGGGAAUGGGGUACCUUAUAUAUGUUGGGAAAUGCAAUCGGGGAAGGUGUAAACUAAACUAAUAUGCGACUAGGAUAGGGUACAAAGAAAACACAACUAGGGAUUGGUGUACCCUAUGUUGAAAAAUACAAAUAGGGAGUGCUAUACCCUUUAAAAAUAAGACUAGGGAAUGAUGUACCUUAUGUCAAAAGAAAAACAUAACUGGGAACUUGUGUACUCUAUGUUGUGAAAUGCAGCUAGGGGAUGAUGUACCUUAUACUAACAUGCGACUAGGGAAUGGUGUACCCUUUGUCAAAAGAAAAACAUAACUAGGGAUUGGAGUACCCUAUGUUGAAAAAAUACAGUUGAGAAUGGUGUACCCUAUGCUAACAUGCGAUUGGAGAAAAUAAUAUUUCCUCUUUUUGUUUUCUUUUUAACAUAUUGAACCAACUUUUAUUUUCUGGGAGCACGAACCAUUGACUUUUUUUAAUAAAAAUAAUACAAACUUCUUUUUUUAAACUAUCGUAGGAGAAAAUUUAUCAGACUAGGGCUUCGUAUCUUAGGAGAAAAUUCAUCAGACUUAGACGUUUUAUCCUAGGAGAAAAUCAUCAGACUAGGUUUUUCUUUUUUUAUUUAUCUUAGGAGAAAGAUUUAUCAAACUAAGACUUCUAUCAUAUGAGAAAAUUCGUUAGACUAGGUUUUCUUAUCUUAGGAAAAAGAUUCAUCAGACUAAAUUUUUUUAUCUUAGGAGAAAGAUUCAUCAUACUAAGAUUUUGAUCCUAGGAGAAAAUUCAUCAGACUAGGGCUUCGUAUCUUAGGAAAAGAUUUAUCAGACUAAGACUUUUUAUCCUAGGAGAAAAUUUAUCAGACUAUUUUUUUUUGAGUUUAUUUAUAUUAGAAGAAAGAUUCACCAAACUAAGAUUUCUUAUCCUAGGAGAACAUUCAUCUGACUAGGUUUUCUUAUCUUAGGAGAAAGAUUCAUCAGACUAAGAUUUUUCUUAUCUUAGCAACUAUAACAACUGAAUGCAUGUUGCCCCUUGGACAAUGUUAUCUUAAUUGUGUUGGCCAAAAUUUAUUUCAUGCAAUUGAAAAGCAGGUAGCAGAUUUUAAAAUCCUUUCUUACUUGUUUUGACAAGGGCUGACUCAAAGCAAAGGACAUAAUAAUGCAAAGAAACAAUGUUAACAAGAGAUGCCCCUAUCGGGAAGGAAAGAAGGAAGAGGAUUUUUUUUAAUGCGGUAACUAGCAUUAAUGAUCAUGACAUGCAUUUUGGACUUUGCGGCCUGAUCUACCAAGCAGAUCUAAUCUUUCCUCUUGUCAUUCCUAUGGCCUUUGAAGUUGGGCUUGUUUGUGUUAAAUUUUUGCAUCAGCUUCACGACUCACUUUUGACUAGUGGUGCCCCGAGAGGUUUUCACCAACAACUCUAUCUCAUUUACUUAUCUCUACUUACCGGCAUCUCACAGUGCCCGUAAGAGUUUUCACUAAUAAGACUCUCUCAUUUUUUAUUUUUUUUGUUCUUUUUCUUUUUUCUUCUUUUCUUUUCUUGAUUCCAUGAGUGAGAACCAUGACCAUAUCCCUCAUAUGACCAUCAUUGCUCAUUGCAGACCCUUGGCAUUUUCUCAAAAUUGAUCAGGAGGUCUUGUUUGGAAGGCUUUUGGAUAUGAUUAGAAAGAAAGGACGACAUGAAAGUUCAAAAGACCCAAUAUGUUGGGGUUGUACAUUUACAACUCUUGAAAUCGACUCUUUUAAAAAACUAAAACAAACUCAUGCCCCAAUUUUAGAUACUGCGAUUUCUUUUUGGUUGUACUGAACCCAGGGGUGAGCCUGCCUACGUAUCCUUUAAAGGAAUCAGGUCAAAAAUAGUUCAAACAUCUGACCUGUUGUUGUUGUUUUUUUNNNNNNNNNNNNNNNNNNNNNNNNNUUUUUUUUCAUCAUUUUUUUCUUUUUGCUCCUUUGUUUAACUCAUACCCCAAUUUUAGAUACUGGGAUUUGUUUUUGGUUGGACUGAACCCCAGGGUGAGCCUGCCUACAUAUCCUUUAAAUGAAUCAGGUCAAACAUAGUUCAAACAUCUGACAUGUUGUUGUUGUUGUUAUUUUUUUUUCAUCAUUUUAUUUUUCUGUUUGCUCCUUUAUUUUCUACUUUUUUUUCUCUUCUUUUUUUUUGGGAAUUAUUUUGACCUCUUUUUUUUCGACUUGAAAUUUCUAAAGGUUUCCCCAGUUUGUACUUUUUGGGAUAUGGUCCUUUUAUUUUAUUUUUUUGGACUUUUGACUCUAAAUUUGAUUCCAAGAGGAGGGGUCAAUGAAAAUAACACAGGCUAAAAAAGCGUGACGAAUGAUGUAGAGUGUUUGGAUAGAAGAAAAAGGGCCUCCCAACCUAAAGAACACCAACCAUACUGUCUCUUUGCAAUCACGACAUUGAUGGACAUGUUCACCUUCUUGGUCUUGUCCAGAAUAAAGUUGUAUGCACAAUACUUUCUUCAUAGUGAAUGAACCUUGUCAAUUUGGACAGCUUUUUCCCUCUUGGUGUGGGAGAAUGCAUUUUGGCACUAGCUGAUCCAUUUCAAAUUGUCUGGACUGCACCCUUUUUCGAAGAAUACUUUCCAUCAAUUAGUGCUAAACUUUCGACCAAGUUUCAACUUAUUCAAUAUUCUUAAGCCCGAUCUUCACAAUGCGUUGGAGGUAGAGAUCUUAAACCUCCAUGGGUAUGACCCCUUAGUUCCAUGUAAAUCUGGAUUAUGCUUACUUUUAAAGUGUUUCAACUCUAUGUUCAUCCUCAAAAGUGUCUUUAUCUUUAGUUGUUCAAUUCAAUACUAAAUUAAUUUCCUAAAAUCAAGCUAAAAUUUUCGCAUGCAUGUCAUGUGACUUAACUAGCAGAAAAGAACUAAACACAGAGUGACGCAAAUGACAAAACGACAAAUUGAAUUUCAUUGAAUAACAAGAUAGAAGGGUUUGACUUAAGACAAGCAAAUUAAAAUCUGAGUUACAACCCUCAGAUAACACCAAAUAACAACAAAACAAACAAACAGAACUCACAGACAAACAGAAUAGAAGGAUAUACAUGUUUAACUCAAAACAAAACAAAUAAAAUCUGGAUCACAACCCUGAAAUAACCUAGAAUAGAAAUAACAUCAAAACAAGCUAACAAGAUUCCUUCCUAGAGAGGAGGGGAUGACUUUUCAAUUAUUAAGCUUGACAUUUUAGCCACAUAUUUUCUCAUCAGCAUCACUAGGACCUUCCCCAAUUUCAAUCUGAUUAACUUUAGUGGGCAUGUUACUUGUCUUCGGCAUUAAUCGCCAGAUUUAGGACCAGCAACAUAUGAUCUUUUAUAGUAACUGACUUACCAGAGGUCUCGAGAGGAUUCUCAUACUCCACGUCACUACGUACCAUCCCCACAAAGUGUGCAUCAUCUUGUGCAGGUAAAUGAUUCUGUAUGAUAUUCGGAGUGUCAAUGUCCUGGACCACAAUUAGUUUUUCCUGGACCAUCCUUUCUAUUUCUCUUUUCAAAUCCCGACAGCUUUCAAUAUUAUGACCCAGGACAUUGGAAUGGUAUUUACACCUUUUAGAAGGAUUAAAUCUUCUUGCACGUGGAUUCACAUAAUUUGGAGGAAUAGGUGCAAUCAUGCCAUAAUGUUUUAAUUUAUCAAACAAGCCUGUAUAUGACUCUCGUAUUGGUGUAAAAUUAUCUUUCGACCUCUACUCCACUCUAUAUUCUUGCCUUAUAUGUGGGUUAUAGGACGCUUAAAACUUUUGUGGAUGCUAAUGAGAAUUUUGCAGUGCUGGUGCUCGCCUUAUAUGGUGUCAUUGUGCAUGGGCAUAUGACUCUGGAUUAUGGACGACAUGCUGAGGUGGAUCAAUAGAGUAUUGUGGGUUCUGAGGUGGAUAUCAAUGCUUAGAGAAAUCAUAGGAAAUAUGAUGAGGCUGCCCAUAUUUUUGAGAUGUUCCCCUAGGACCUCUUCUUGGCCUUGAUGCCAUCAUGGUCUCUUAAUCCUUCUCAUUCGUGUCACCAAAUUACCAGAUCCAAUCUAGACAUACUGAGUUGUAGCUUAGAAAAUAACUUGACUUAUAAUUCUGCCUGUCUUGAGGCCAUUCUCAACCAUUUCACAAAUCUCGAUUGCUUGCGAGAAAGGUUUGCCCAUUGCGGACAUCAUAUUUUGAAAAUAGUCAGGCCCUUGGGCCUGAAGGAAAAUAAUGAUUAACUCGUUGUCAUCCAUGGAUGACUUGACUCUAGCCGCUUGCUCUUAACUCUAGCCACUUACUCUCUCCAUUUAAUGGCAAACUCCCUGAAACUUUUGGUCGGUUUCUUCUUCAUAUUAGAGAGGGAACUGCAAUGUCAAUAUUAUACUGGAACUGCUUGACAAAGGCCUGAGCUAUAUCGUCCCAAGCAUGCCAAUGAGAAGUAUCUUGAUCAGUAAACCAUUCGGAGGGUGCUCCCACAAGGCUUUUCCCAAAAUAAAUCAUUAGUAACUCUUCUUUUCCUCCCGCGCUUCUUAGUUGAUUGCAAUACUUUUUUAAGUGAGCUAUGAGGUUUCCAUGUAUGUCAUACUUUUCAAACUUAGGGGUCUUGAAACUAAGUGUCAAAUGGACAACAUGAAACAUACAUAGAUCCUUGAAGGUAAUACUUUUUUGACCUGCCAACCUUUGUAUGUUUUUUAUUCAUUGUUCCAAGCUUUUUAUUUUUUGGGCUAUUUCUUCUUGUGCCAUCUUUCGGGCAGGAUUCUCCAUCUCUGCAGGAAGAUCAAAUAGGUACGAGUGGUACUCAGGCGAGUGGUGUUGUUCUUGCUGGGUAGCAAACUGUGGCUCAUGAUUCUUCCUAUGUAUCACUGUUGGCUGCGAGAUGGUAUUGACAAGGGUAACAAUUGUAGUUGCAUGAUUCGUUCUUAAUGGCACACAUUGGCAGCAGAAGUCCCAGCCAUAUUUAUGUAGUUGGGAUAAGAACUAACUCCAGGUGGACAGGACGGAUCAGACAACGAGACCUGAGUAGCUGUCGUCAAGAUGGGUGUAACCUCUGGGAAACCAGGAAUAAACGAGGGUGGUUCCUAGCCAUCGACCCAUGCUCGAAACAUUUUAGCCAUUCGCUUUUUCAACAUCCUAUUUCCCUCGACUACAACGGACUCUUGUUGAACCGUCUGAACCUGAGUCUCGUGAGCACUUGUAAUGACUUCAAUAUUUAUUGGCAUUUUCCCUUCGAUUUACUAUUGUAAGCUUACCAUAAACCAACCUCCUCAAACCUUUAACCAUAAUUUAGAACAAAUGACACCUUAGAAUGGACUUAGUCAAUUCUUAUUAUUAUUUAAUUAUUUUUCUUUUAAAAAGUAGAUCGAUCGAACCCGAUGUAGGUUGCCUACGUAUCAUGUGGGGACAUAAAUCUGACUUUGCGUAGUUCGGGGAGAUCCAAAAUAAAGUAAACAACUUAACUUCUAUUUUUUCUUACUGUUAUAAAAUAAAAAUAAAAAUCAAACCAUGAAAGCUUCUAAAUGGAAAAUAUUUCGUAUUUCAAUUUUUUCUUUUUUCUUUUUUUAAGAAAAUUUCGAAAGAAACAUUUCUAAAAAAGAAAGAUUUUUGUUUUUUGAAUAUUUUGAAAGAAAUAUUUCUAAAGAAGAAAGAAAGUAUUUUUGGAUUUCAAUAUUUUAUCUUUUUAAAAAAAUAUUUCGAAAGAAAGACUUCUAAAGAAGAAAGAAAAUCUUUUGGAUUUUUGGAUUUGACGUCUAAAAAAAAAAGACUUAAAGACUUCUAAAGAAAAAACGUCUCAAAAAAAGAUUUCUAAAGAAGAAAUAAAGAAAAAAAAUCUUUUUUACUGGAUUUUUUGAAAAUUAGGGACCGAACCCGAUGAAGGUUGCCUACGCAUCUCACAUUCGGUGAGAAUCAGACUCGCGUAGUUUGGCGAAAUCGACUAUUUUUUUCUCGUUUUGAUUUUUAUAAAAAUUAAUCUUUAAAACCAUAGGCACUAGCCCACAUCAUUUUUUUUCUUUUAUAAUUUCUCUCUCUUUAUUCAACUGAUCUACCCUAAAGUCGGUCAACAUACAAGCCUCCUAAAUAAUGUACCAGAUAGCACAUAAUAUAAACAUAAUGGUCUCAACAAGGUACCUAUCCUAAAAUAGAACCCGACCCUUGUGCCGAGCCCUGCUAAGUCAAAUGCACAUGAUGCAAAUAGUGUGAACCUACUAGGGAUAUCCGGCAUGAAAUUUUAUUUUUCUAGGUUUAAUUCCUGGUGGAUGGGGUAUCUAGAAUGGCUUACUUGAGCGGAUAACUCAAGCCGAGGAGGGUCAGCGUACCAGUAGCAUUACUUUCCGGCUUAGCUGGUAGUGCAAAUGCCUCGGAGUGGCAAGCACCUCGGCUAUCUCAAAGAAAGUGGGUUAUGUCAAGCAAAUGUCCAAUUUUAAUUUCAAGAAGAUUCAGAGGGGGUGCGUGAGAAGAUAGUUUAUAAUACAGUUCAACGAUAUCAAAGCGGUAAAGAGCAGGCAAGUAGCACAUUAGGCCUAAAUAAAUCACAAUAUAUACAAAAAUUAAUAAAGCCAAAUAAAGUCAAUGUAUAACCUCGAAUUCUGGUUGUUCCUCUGCAGAGUCGCCAGAGCUGUCACACCUCUUUUUUACCCCUAUAAAGAUAUAUUAUGUUGUGUUGUAGGGUAAAAACGUUUUUCCAUUUGAAGUGAUAAAUUUGAGUAGGGAUUAUUUUGUUUACAGAGUCGCCACUUGAAAGUCAAUGUACAAAGGAAGGUUUAACACUAUUUUUAUCGGUUCGCGAAAAUAGAGUUCGGGUAAGGAAUUCUGUUAACCGGGGAGAAGGUGUAAGGCAUUCCUCGAAUCCCGAGGAUCUAGCACGGUCGCUUUAUUGACUUGAAUUAAUAUUGGACAAACUGUGAUUUAUAUAAUUUUUAUGUUUUUUCUAUGUCCGCUUUUAUUGCUUGAUUAUUAUAAUUAUUAAAGAAUGAUUUGGAUGAUAAGAUGUUGUAACCACACUACGCAAGCGAAUGCGUGAUCGAGACGAAAUUUAUAAAUUUAGUCAUAGCAGUGCUACGCAAGCGAAUCCGCAGUCAUGACAAAGGACUAUUAGUACGUUAUUACUUUUGAAAAAAAUUAUUACAUUUGAGAAAAUUAAUUUAGAAAAUUAUUAAAGGUCACUACUGCGCUACGCAAGCGAAUCUACAAUUAUGGCGAAAAGAUUAACUAAAAUUAAGAAUUAAUUAAAGCUAUUGGAUAUGGUAUGAGAUUAUUGAAUUAAUUUAUUGAAGGUUAAACAUCACGCUACGCAAGCGAGUCCGUGAAUAAAAAAGUUAAAGUGCGCCUACUAAUGGGCUAGCGUUUAAAUUAAUUAUUAAAGAGGCUAAGUUAUAAAGUUUUUAAUCAUAAAAGAAAAAUCUGAUUGUUUGUGGCAUUUAUUUGGCAAAAGAACUAUGUACAUAAAAGUUAGGCCUUAACUUGUGGUGAAUUUGGACUAACCAGUAAACCAACCUUUUAUUGUUAGGGGUAUUAUUAUUUUUAGCCCGUACCAGAAACUAUUUACAUCUGAUAGCCGACAAAGUGUAUAGAAUUUGUAUAAUUUUUGUAUAUAACAUACAAUAUAUAUAUAAAUUUUAUAUAUUUUUUCGACUAUUAUUUUUACAGUGGUUAUACAAUGUCAUUUUUCCUUAUUGUUACUGUGGGCCAACAGCUUAUUAUCACUAAAGUGGGCCUGGCAGAUUUCUCUUGAGCCCAAAUUCUUAAAAUUACACCUACCGACCUGGGCCAUUUAACAUUAUUGACAAAUGAUGCCUAAAAUCAAUUUACAAGCAAAUCAUACGGCCUAAGUAACACUUAAUUAUGAACUAACCAACACAAAUUAAGACAAAAUACUACUUACUUGAUUUACGUUACUUAAAUCUCAGACAACUAACCAAUACAUAUUAUACAAAUAAUUGAACAUAAUGAACAUUUAUAUCAAUGUAAACUAGCAGUAAAUAAGCAGAUUUUAUUCUAACAAAUAACACCCAAAUAAUGAAUUGAAAGAGAAGUUAAAGAAAGGAUGGACUUUUAUUGCUAAAAUUUCCAGCAAGUACAGGGAAGAGAAGCUCCAAAACAUUAAUCCUCAAGUGAGCUACGGACUAGAAACUUGAACCGAUUCUGGCGAUCCCAAACAGACUGAGCUCGAGACGGUGGUUUUGGGCUGAUUUUCACACUGGUUUGGGGUGGUUUUUCAGCUGUAUUUUUGUUGAUUUUCAUGACUUAUUUCGGGUGGAAUUUUUGUGGUUUUUUGAGUGUUUAGCAGCUGAGUUUCAGCUGCGUUUUCGGGGCUAUUUUCGUGGAGUUUUUGACUCGAUUUUUCCAUGUUUGUUGGGGUGUUUGGGGGCUGGUUUGGGGUGUCUUGGAGCUGAUUUUCAGAGCUCGUUUUGGGGUCGUUUUUGGCUGCUUUUCAUGGCAAGUUGAAGGUGCUUUGAAGUCAUUUUGGGACUGCUUUCAAGCUGCUUUUUUCGGCUGCGUUUUGGGGGUGGAAAGAUGCUUUGUUUUGCUGGUUUUUGGUGCUAUUUUGCCGUGUUUUUGGGCUGAUUUUGUAGCAGGUUUUCAAGCUGAGUUUUCAGAUGGUUUUGAGGAGUUUUUCAGCUUACUUCCAUUACUGGCAAUGGAGUUUUUUCGGGAAGUUUUGGGCAGAGGUUGGAGGUGCUUUUUGGGGCCGAUUUUGGAGGUUUUUUAGGUGACGAAAAUGAUGUUUGACGGAGGUGAAACUGGCUGGUUUCAAUGGAGGAACUAUGGUUGUUUUUCUCCGGGAAGAAGAAGGCGUUGCCCCCUUUUUAGCUCACUCGGUUUCUUUCCCUUUUUGUGCUCUUUUUUUAAGAAAAAAUAAAAUUCCCUUUUUUUCCUCAUGUGUGUACAUAGAAUAAGAAAAGAUGAGAGGAAGAGUGUUGAGAAUGAACGAUGGGACAAAGAAAUAGCGUAAGAAGUGGAGUGAUAGGGACAAAUAAAUAGUAUAAGGAAUGUGGAUGGGACAAGAAAGCAGUGUAGGGAAGGUGAAAGGCAAUUUAAUUAGAUUUGAUCCGUAUUUAAAAUAAAUUUUUGUGACCAUUAUGUAGUAGACUGUGUAAAAUAAUAUUACGUAUUCUCUAGAAAAGCCUAGUAAAAAAAUAAUAAGAGCUAAAAUAUCAA
RNAcentral lists this long non-coding RNA (11246 nucleotides) under Nicotiana tabacum (common tobacco). RNAcentral describes it as "long non-coding RNA (NTAB_LNC005660)". The record is from RNAcentral. Lineage: Eukaryota; Viridiplantae; Streptophyta; Magnoliopsida; Solanales; Solanaceae.